AAAAUAAUAGGGAAUAGGAUCAUAAUGUGGUAAACCAGAGACCAGAGAAAAGGGAUUCCCUGUGAUUUUAUGGAUUUCUGGAUGUAAAGAGGGCGGAGUUUUCGGAUUCAUCCCGAAAGUUUUUCCAAAACGUGGUUAUCACUUGCUGGGCGGUGCCUUCCCGUGACGAGGAGAGA
Caenorhabditis elegans is the source of this 176-nucleotide non-coding RNA. The record is from Ensembl. Lineage: Eukaryota; Metazoa; Nematoda; Chromadorea; Rhabditida; Rhabditidae.